ACCAUUUACUCAAACUUUUCUGUAUAUAAAACUUUCGUUUCACGUGCAGGCUAAACUUACUUAAAGUAAAAUUUCAUACGGAAUAAAGUCGAACUUUUCAUUAAGUUUUGCUUCCGUAAUAUCGUGUUUAUCGAAUACCAACUUAAUUCACUUACGAUUCUCGAAUUUUUGUGUUGCAAUCUUUAUUGUUUUCGAUGAAUCGAAGCAUUUCGAAUAUUUUGAGAAGACCGUAAAUAGGUGACUUAAAAUAGGAAUACAAAAAUACUUCUACGUUUCUCGUUAAUUUAAAAACUUUUUAGGACUUGUCGGAAAAAAAGGAUAAAAAAUUGAAAUCAGUGCGGAAAUGAACAAGAACAUAGCUAAAAAGUCGAAAGAACAAAGCAGACAUAAAAUUCGAUCUUCCGUUGCGACAUUUCUAUCGUAAAUAGUAUAAUAAAAGUUUUACGUAGCAUAGUCUUCGAUAUAAUCUUAUAUGUCGCUUGCAGAUAGAGAAACAAAAAAUCAACGUGAGUCUGUAAAUCAAUCCUGUCGGUGUAAAACACAAAAUUACGUUCGCAAGAAACAUUCGAUUUAUAUUCCUUGCAUUUCAAUUUUCAUUACAAGAACCGUGUACAUUUUCUAAUAUUUUUUCCGUGUCUGGUAUUAUCUUUUAUCCUUGAUUUUAAAAACUUUGGGUUCUUCCCAACAGUCAAAAACACGCGAUACCCUGUCCAUCGUAAUCGUAAGAAAAGAAAAAAAGGAGAAAGAAGACAUUUCUGUAUUUCUUUACUAGGCCAUGUUGAUUAAAACCGAAAUGAUUUCGAUUCAUCUAUUCACAAGAACGCAACGGCCUCGGAAGCUGUGUUGUGAUUUCCUAUCGAUCGUUUCCCUCUACACAGUGUUCAUAUGAGCCAUGUUUGUUCUUAGCAAUGCCUUAUAAAAAGCUGCCUGUGCUGGAGGUAGACGGGAAACCGGUAGCGCAGGGUAACGCUGUGGCGCCUUACUUGGCGAGGAAGUACGAUCUAAUGGGAAACUGCAAAGGGGAUGCGCUGAUAUGCGAAGUGCUCGUCGAUACUCUUGAAGAUUUGGAGCAAGGAUCCUCCUCCAUGCGAUAGUAGCAGAUAUCUGAAACGUAUAUGAAACCAACCGUUACGUUCAUUUGUGUUUUUCCCCCCAAACGAAGAGAAAAUAAGUUGUGAAAGAAGGAGUAGCCUCUCAUAGUUCCUACAAUUUCUUCAUUCUCUUUGCUUUCUUCAAUAUUGCCUCAACAAGUUCCUGUGGUUCACGAUACUUGAAAUAUAUACAAUGUUACCAGCGUGGAAAUUGUCUUGGAAACUUGGAAAAUCUUUCAAGAGGAACAACAUUGCUAACUGAGAUUCGAGAAAGGAAAGUACCAAGAAUGUCGAGAUAUAAACAACCAUUUGUGGAAAGGUCAGGAGAAGCAGAAUUAUCGAAUAAACGUUAUAUAACUCUUAGUGAUUAAGUAAGAGAAGAGAAACGAGAAAAAAGUCUUUUAUCUAGGUCUUAACAAAGUAUACUAUAUUUAUCUCCAUAUCAAGAAUAACAACAAGAUAUAAACAGUCUUCUAGAAAUUGAACUCUUUGCAUCUUCUAUACAGGUAUCUCAUGAUCAUGUGAUAACACACAGGAAGAAAAAAUAGAGGAAAAAACAGCGUAAAAAAAAGUUGCGUACGAGUAUCGUCGCACUACAUCAUUCGACAAUUGAUGCACGUCAUGGCGAUCGUCACGGUUUAAAGCAGGCCAUCAAAAACACGUUUGUUAUCGUACGGAAAAAUCUGCGACGUUCCAGCUGUUCAGGUGCAUCGAAUUGUGAAUCAUCGGCGGUACGAAGCAAGGCGAGGGGCGUAAAUAGAGAAAGAAGAGAAGAGAAGGAUUCUCAUAAAUGAUAAAAUAUAAUCGUUCGUUCCUCGUCGAUGGCGGAUGGAUGGCUUUAAUCGUGGACGAUAUCGAUACGAUUAUAUUUUAUACAUUUGAAACAAAUAUAAAAGACGAGCAAAAAACAGAGAUACGAUCGUUAUGAUAUUAUUCAAUCGGUAGCCUAUUUACCUCGUUUUUUGUUCACCUUCUCUGUCUAGUAAUAAUUUUUCGAUUCGACUGGCGUGACGUUACGUUGGCGGUGUAAAAACACGAUUUUAAACACCUGCGGAUAGUUGCAUGAGUUUCGAGCGAUUCCAUUCCCUUCGAUUUAUAUUUAUGCGAUCAACGCGCGGAUCGUUAACGCAUUAUGCAGACAGCAGAUGUUACGUAAUCACACAUAUCGUAAUUGGAAAUUAGUAACGUUAUCGCGUACCAGGAUCUUCCUGUCUUUGAUCAUUGAGUAACACUUCGUUGUCCUCGCUCCUUCCGCGGAUAACCAGCGUUUAUCAUAUAGAGACAGGGAUUUGCAAAGAAUAAAAGUUGUAGAACGUUGAAAGGCGUUGAGAGAAACGUGAUGUUAUCCCGUUAUUCGUUAACGCAACGCAGUUAAAAAAAAUCCCGUAAGAAGAUUACGAUAAUAGAUAACCUGAGUCGAGUGUUUGUCGGGGGAUCUAAAAGAUUCUUUCGAGAUGAGCGUCUGAGAUUGCAGAGAAGAAAAUUUGGAAGCCAUCGAAUUCGUGAUGUCGAUAGAAAUCUUCAGUUGGAAUCGUUGUAUCAUAACGUAGUCUGCUUAUUGUCGAUAAGACUUUACUAAACUAAAAGUGACUACUAAAAGUUUCUAUCCUCUAAAUUCUAUCUACGAUUCUAUAAUCUAAAAACUGACUUUUGCAAACAAACUGUAACAUUCGCUUAACGGAAAGACAUACGUAUCUUGUUUGUACUCGUCUUUUCACAAUGAAUUCUUGAACGUCUGUCUCUGUGGUGAGACAAAUGCAAAGUCAUCUCAUCAGUUACUCACCUUGCUCCAAAUCUUCAAGAGUAUCGACGAGCACUUCGCAUAUCAGCGCAUCCCCUUUGCCGUUUCCCAUUAGAUCGUACUUCCUCGCCAAGUAUGGCGCCACAGCGUUACCGUGCGCUACCGGUUUCCCGUCUACCUCCAGCACAGGCAGCUUUUUAUAAGGCAUUGCUAAGAACAAACAUGGCUCAUAUGAACACUGUGUAGAGGGAAACGAUCGAUAGGAAAUCACAACACAGCUUCCGAGGCCGUUGCGUUCUUGUGAAUAGAUGAAUCGAAAUCAUUUCGGUUUUAAUCAACAUGGCCUAGUAAAGAAAUACAGAAAUGUCUUCUUUCUCCUUUUUUUCUUUUCUUACGAUUACGAUGGACAGGGUAUCGCGUGUUUUUGACUGUUGGGAAGAACCCAAAGUUUUUAAAGUCAAGGAUAAAAGAUAAUACCAGACACGGAAAAAAUAUUAGAAAAUGUACACGGUUCUUGUAAUGAAAAUUGAAAUGCAAGGAAUAUAAAUCGAAUGUCUCUUGCAAACGUAAUUUUGUGUUUUACACCGACAGGAUUGAUUUACAGACUUACGUUGAUUUUUUGUUUCUUUAUCUGCAAGCGACAUAUAAGAUUAUAUCGAAGACUAUGCUACGUAAAACUUUUAUUAUACUAUUUACGAUAGAAAUGUCGCAACGGAAGAUCGAAUUUUAUGUCUGCUUUGUUCUUUCGACUUUUUAGCUAUGUUCUUGUUCAUUUCCGCACUGAUUUCAAUUUUUUAUCCUUUUUUUCCGACAAGUCCUAAAAAGUUUUUAAAUUAACGAGAAACGUAGAAGUAUUUUUGUAUUCCUAUUUUAAGUCACCUAUUUACGGUUUUCUCAAAAUAUUAGAAAUGCUUCGAUUCAUUGAAAACAAUAAUGAUUGCAACACAAAAAUUCGAGAAUCGUAAGUGAAUUAAGUUGGUAUUCGAUAAACACGAUAUUACGGAAGCAAAACUUAAUGAACAGUUCGACUUUAUUCCGUAUGAAAUUUUACUUUAAGUAAGUUUAGCCUGCACGUGAAACGAAAGUUUUAUAUACAGAAAAGUUUGAGUAAAUGGUAGAUAUCUGAGAGUUGAACGAUGAAUGUAAAAAUCGAUUCUUCACGCUUACAAUCCUUGUAUUCAGGCCAGAGUUCUACGGGGAUCCUCUCGUCGGUAUACUCGAUGCCAAUAUAUGCAAAUAUGUACCGUAUAUGUUCGGCACUACCACGGGCAUUGAAGCAGAUUAGUUUGUAGGUAGGUUCGUCGCUCAUUUUCCUUGCUCUGUCAACUUAUCGAGAAAAAUGAUACAAUUAACUCGUGUAAUUAACAGACUGUGUGCGUGUUUGUGUGUGUAGAGAACAAUUUAUUUAUAGAUGGAAUAAUUCGUAUAAUACGCAAAAUAAAUCAUUUAGAAGGCUGGAAUAUGUGUUUUUGAAACAAUUAAUUAUGUCGAAAAAUAUUUCAAACGAGAUAUAAUUAUGAAAAAAAUAAUAAUUAAAUCUAUGUAAAUGUAUGUAAUAAUAGUUAAAUGUAUGUAAAUGUAAUAAUUAAAUGUAACUAGCUGUAAAAAAAAUAAUAAUAAAAAAUAAAUAAAUGUAAAAAAAGAAUUAAA
This is an RNA transcript of Bombus huntii, 4482 nucleotides long. It is a transcript of the gene named hematopoietic prostaglandin D synthase-like, with no coding region annotated. The transcript has 4 exons. The record is from RefSeq and is a predicted model, not a curated record. NCBI's taxonomy places the organism in Eukaryota, Metazoa, Arthropoda, Insecta, Hymenoptera, Apidae.